RNAcentral lists this ribosomal RNA (743 nucleotides) under Pratylenchus sp. 2 DTN-2018. Its description in RNAcentral is "partial 28S ribosomal RNA". It matches the Rfam family "Eukaryotic large subunit ribosomal RNA", at positions 370 to 967 of the family's 3401-position model. The record is from RNAcentral. Lineage: Eukaryota; Metazoa; Nematoda; Chromadorea; Rhabditida; Pratylenchidae.
UCACCUUUUUAAAAAGAGUAAGAGGACGUGAAACCGAUGAGGUGGAAACGGAUAGAGCCAGCGUAUCUGGCCUGUAUUCAACUGCAUUGUUGUGAGCAGUUGGGCGCUGCAUCUCCAGAUUGGGACAGUCCUAGCUUGCAAGCAACAAUGUUGUGCAUUUGCAGGUCGAGUGCGCCGAGACUUUCGAGAAGGCGAUAUGAGCUCAAUUUUGAGGCCAGCUUGCUGGUACCCGGAUUGGAGGAAUGUUGUUCGUUUUGGAUGUGAAUGGGGGAAAGGUUUUCGGGCUCCAAUGGGUUCAAAUUGGGGGGGGGGGGCAGUUUCAUGCAACAUUGGCCUUCCGCCAAUUCGGUCCUGGGCAAACUCACAAUCCCCCUCUCGGGGAAAAAGUUGGACAUCUUUCCAACCCGUUUUGAAACCCCGACCAAGGAGUUUAUCGGGGGCCCAAAUCAUUGGGGGUUGAAAACCCAAAGGCCCAAUGAAAGAAAAAAAUCCCCAAGGAUACAACGGGGGAUCCGAACAACCACAAUUGCCUGGAACAACAUGGCCCCAUUCGGGUCCCUUGCAACCGGGUGGAAAAAAAACGUACCCCGGGAAACCCCAAAAAAGGGGAACUAUUCCUGAACUGUAAAAGCCCAAAAAAACUCUGGGGGAAAUCCAAAACUAUUUCAAAUGGAAAAAAAACCUCAAAAUUGGUUAAUGGGGCAAAAAACAAUCUAACCUCAAAUACGGGGUCCCUCCAAAAU